Long non-coding RNA from Setaria italica (foxtail millet), 3682 nucleotides. RefSeq lists it as uncharacterized. The transcript is spliced from 4 exons. The record is from RefSeq and is a predicted model, not a curated record. Lineage: Eukaryota; Viridiplantae; Streptophyta; Magnoliopsida; Poales; Poaceae.
UUGAAAACAAUUUUCACCUGGAGUUAUAUUUUCGUACCCCUCACACAGGCUCAUCUGGCAGAUCGAGGGUGUGACGAAAGGAGGGGCAGACCGAAAAAACUGACGAUUCUAAAAGGGUUUGUUGCCCAUUGUUGUUUGUUUUACUUUUGCAUCACCUGAUCUACAAGUGUUUCUCUUUGGACGCCACCGCCUCCCUCAUGAUCGUGCUCCAGUCCCGCAUCGCCGACGUCCUCGCUGUCUACAUCCCCCGCCGCCGUCGUGGGGAAGGGCAUCCUCCUCGACCACGCCACCGGCGCCUGUGUUCCUGACGCCGUUACAGGGUUGCACCGAUCACGAUCUGCACUUCUGCAGAGCCACACCGGCUGGGAAGGUACGUAUACCUUCCAAAAUGCAUGCAAGCAUGAUGCAAGCUGAUUACAUAAUCUGCAGGAGUACGAACUGAACCGAAUGGUUGGUUUACCAUACAUCUUAUCUUACGUCGUUCAUUAGGUUUGAUUAUUUAUCUCAUGGGCAGGUUUAUCUCUGCUUACCUGAUUUACCCGUUUGUUCCAUGGCUACAUAGGUUAAUUGCCAAAUUGCAUGGAAUUUGUAUACCAAAGCAUAUUAAGACAGUCAAACGAUGAGUGCUUAAUGUUUCUAGCAUACUAGCAUAUUACCUGUGCCUUCACGGUCAAUGAGCAUAUCGAUAUAUUGAGCUGUGAAUGUCUCACUUGGAACCCACGAGGUAGCAACAUGUUAGAAACAUGAUUGAACAGACAUAAAUUAAAUAAUAGAAAGGUAAUGUAUUAAAAAAUAUUUUAUUUUACUUCAUGCAUGAUACGUUUUUAAUACAUAUCCCUGUGUGUUUGCAAUUCGCAUUUUGCUCUUAAUUUUUCUGGUGCUCUCUUAGAUUAAACACACAGGAAUUAUUCAGAGAGAGGAGAAGAAUGAACUAAUGCUUUUCAGUGCCCCAUCAACGAUGAUAAAAUCAUGUGUUUUAUCCUUGUUAUUCUGGACAUUCACAAGCCAUACAAAUUAAACCUACCAGGAAGCAUUCUGCCUAACCUACUACGAAGGAUAGUAUCUAGAUGUUUUAAUAAAAGUGGGAUUAAAUAACUUUGGAAUGCCCUAUCCCUUUUGUAUUUGUCAAUGUAGUUAAUUCUCUGAACAACUCCUUGCAAGCAAUAAUGACAACAAUGGCACAAGCUGGUUGUUAAUUAAAGCUUAUUGUACAUCUGUUUUUUAAUGGAAAUUGCAAUGCUACAAUUCUAGGUCUUAUAUGCCUUCGUGGAAAUCAUCAUUGCUGAAAUGUACAUGUCGUAAUCUAUUUUUUCUAUAAACGGUGAGAAGUUAGGUUAUCUUCUUGCUCGCAUGAACAAAACCAAGGAGCUUUUGCUUAACAAUUGCAUGUGUGUUUUCUAUAAUUGGACCUGGAGGGAAUGAGAAGCUGUUCUUCAGGCCAAUCUGUGGUAUUGUUUCAUGUUGGCUCAGCACCCUCAGUUAAUUUGUGUAGGCACUACAUGUAUUUGAAAUGUCUGUAAUUACAGCUCAUUUUUCUUGUGGCUCUCAGCAAUGGAGGCUACCUUCAGGCCAUGACCAAACAGCAAGAAUGUUCAGAUCAUCAGAACUCGGAGUCUCAUAUCUACUGAUCAUGUGUAGUUACUUGUUGAACUAGGUUUAAAAAUAUUUGUAGCAUUCCACAUUUUUUUUACGAUAUCAAUGACAGUUUCCAGAAUUACACAAAGCCAAUAUGAAUCUCUUGUGAAUUAAGUGGGGGAUAUUGCCAUUAUAUUAAUAAUUAAUUAAAUAGUAGGAAAUAAAACAUUGGGUAACAGUCAUUGCCUUGUAUUUUUUCCACUUCCUUUAUGCUAAGGUACAUCUGUGUUAAAUAAAAGUGUUAUUCUUGCUGAUCUUAUUAUAGAAAUUAAAAAUUAAUACAUAUAAGUAGCACAUUCCUUCUUUUGGCUUUAUCAGGUGGAUGAGAUGGAUUCACGUUCCAAUGUGAAUUGAUGAUUUAUAUACUUCUUUUUGCAGUUGUUUUUUUAAAAGAGUUGUUAUACCUUCACAAUCUGUUGUUUGGAUUACAACUAGGACCAGGCACUUGACGAUCUGCUUGGCGGAGGGAUUGAAACACUUCGCAUCACAGAGGUGUAGCCAUAGUCAGGUGCUUAUCCAAGAUGCAAUUAGCCAAUUAUACAUGAUUCUCAAUCUAUUGAAAUUCAAGGCAAAAGAAAGUGAAUUUAUGUAAUUCUGAAGGAUGAAGAUGCUGAAAUUGUUCUUUUUUGAAAAGGAAGAAGACAGGUAAGGUUCACAAACCAUUUGCCAGUCAACAGGGUUUCACUUCAUGGUUCCAAUUUCAUGUUGUUAAGGAAGCUGACCAGAGAAAUAUUUUACAAGAUUAUAUCAUCAAGGGCUCUUUCAAGGUUGAGGCAUGAAAAUAUUGUUGAACCAUAUUUGGCUUUGUCUGAGGCUCAAAAAUCUAAAAGAUAUUCUGUUCUUAAAGGUUUUGCUUUCAUUUCUAUUAAGCCCAUAGGUAUCGUCCCUACAUUCACAAAAUGUUUUUAGACAGGUUGCAUAAAAACAAUGAAAAUCCUUGCCAGUUCUUUGAUGCACUACCUGAACAAAAGAUCAGAAAUCGACAUACAGAGAAAGAGUAUUUCUUUAGACAGAUCCUGACAAGGUUAGCUUUUAUUGAGAGAUCUGGUUCAACCUUUAUGCUUCUAUAUACUUGUUUGAUAUCUUUGUGAAGAAUACCCUCCUGAUGCAUUAAAGCUAAUCGCAAUAAAAAGUGCUUUUUAGGUUGACAUCUUCUUAGCAUGGAUAGUUUUGUCAUAAGUUUAUUGUGAACUUUUCUUGUCUUUCGGGACGAAAGGAAAACCUAAAACAUCUGCAGUGCCUGCUUCUUGUGCACUCAAUGUUGAUCUGCAAAGGCUAAGGCUGCAUCUCACGCGCCCAUGGAGUCGAUCAGGGUAUAGCUUUUCCGUGACACAAUAAGGGCCCUGCUUCUUUCCAUGAAUAUUUUACUAGGCACUGUUUUGCAAGCCAACCUGAUGUUGGUUUCUGGAAUAUUGCUCAGUUUACUAGGCCACUGUCAUCUGCAGAACUUAUUAGUCAAGAUGAGGCAAAUUAUAUAAUGGAGAGGUUAGUUUGUUUCUCCCAUCUAAAUUAACUAUUUGCAGUACACCUCAAUAACUCAUUAAUGAGCUGCUUGUUCCACUCAAGGCUGCUAUCCUGGUUUUCUAAAAUACAUGCCAGUUUGGAACAAUUUGCUCCUAUGUGUUGGAAAGGAAUAAAAAUAAAUAGCGAAAUUAACCUUGAAAUUUAACCACUUAUGAGUUGUUCUGUUAGUAUUGUAGACUUUUGGUGAAUCAUAAUACAUAUUCCACAGAAAUUAUAUAUUUUUUGGCUGAAAGAUAAUUGAGUCACGCUCUCACGACAGAUGGCUGAAAGACGUGCCUUCAAGAUAAAGAUGAGGAUAUAGGAGGUGACAAUGAUAACGGCAAUGAGAAUAAGAUUCUCAUGGAGGAGUAGAGCCUGAGGGUGGUGUUUGAGAAAUGUGAAGAAAAUAUAUGUUGUUUGUUUAGGGAAACUACAUUAGGACUACAUUAAAAUACUUGUAUGACUACAUGUUCCCUGGCUCAUUCAUCCCAAGACCAAAGUCUGAAGAUGUAAAUGAUCAAUCAGCGUACGAGUUAGUUAGCUA